CCCGGCGGAAAUUGCAAGUGAACCCAUUGGAAGAGGUUGUGGGAGAUAGUGGAGUGUGAUGUCAUCCUAGGUCAUGGUGGGCCAUUUGGUGGGAUUAAAGAAAAAGAAAGAGAAAAGAAAAAAUGGUCCCAUCUCUCUCUCUCCUCCUUCUCUCUCCUUCCUCUCUCCCUUCCGUUGGCUUCUCCUCCAUCUUCUUUGUGCGAAAGACCAGAAAAAUUGCAGAGGAAGAAGCCGAGGCAGCCCCUCGCCGUCCGCCUCCUUCGCCGCUCGUCGCCGCCGUUUGCACCGUCAAGCUGCUCGCCGUCCGCCCGCACCACCGGCCGCGCCACCGUCGCCCUCUCUCCUCUCUUCUCCGGCUCCGGUUUCUGCUUGAAAACCCAACAGAUCUGAGGAGGUGUCGAAGCUAGCUGUAGCCCAGCCGAAUCGCCGUCGGCCCGUCGCCGAAGCUCGCCGCUACCACCGUCGUCCGCGCGAAGCCCGCGCCCGCGCGCCGCUCCGCCCGCUUUGCCCAGCUCGUCGUCCCGAGCUGCUGUUCAGCUCGCGCAAGAGCUGCCGGAGCUCGUUCGUCGCCGCCGUGCACCGCCGUUCGUCGCCACCAGCCACCGCCGUAGCUCCUCCGCCCACUCCCGACCCCAACCAGCCCCGGAUCUGCUCAUUUUCGGCCCCAACCAGCAGCGAGCAGAGAGUUGGAAAAUGGGUAUGCAGCGGACGUUUGGCUCGUUUUGGCCGCCUUCCCGAGCCCGGAUGCUCGGCCCGCUUUGAGGAAAGUCGAUCCUCGCGUCGUGCUCGUCGUUUUGGUCCGCUCGGCUCGCUAAUCCGGUGAGUUUAGCUCACUAAACCUCGCUUAGAGGGUUAAUUAUGCUUUAGGUGUGCUUAGCUUAAGUUGAUUAAGCUUAGGUGGUUAAUUUAGUUAAUUUAAUUAUGAUUUAGAUUAAGAUGUUUGUUUAAUCUAAAGUAUGUUUAAUUAAAUGCUAAGAGGGUUUAUUUAAAGUUAAGCCUUGAUGUGACACAAAAUGAUUUUUGUUUUGAAUUAUUUAAGUGCUUCGAAAUUCUGGAAAAUAUAAUAUUAUAUUAUAAUCCGAAAUUAUUAAAAUAUUAUUAUUUAUUAAAAAAAAAUCAGAAAAAUUAUUUUUGACCCCGGUUGCUCAGAAUUUCGUGCCAAUCGCUGCUGUGCAUUUAGAAUUUGAUAUUUAUGAUUGGUUGUGGUGAAUUGAAUGUGAUUUCGAUAUAUAUGGAUUCUUUAUAAAUUUCUAAGUGUGGAAAUUGAUGGGCGAUUGGCCGUGAUAUGCCACCUAUUAGAGGUCGCACCCGAUGGGGCCGUUAUAUGCCACCUAUUAGAGGUCGCGUCCAAUGGGGCCGUUAUAUGCCACCUACUAGAGGUCGCGCCCGAUGGGGCCGUGAUAUGCCACCUAUUAGAGGUCGCGCCGGAUGGGGCCGUGAUAUGCCACCUAGUAGAGGUCGCGCCCAGUGGGGCCGUGAAUUGCCACCUGAUAAAGGUCGCGCCGAGUGGGGCCGUGAUGCCACUGAUUCUAAUGUUGGCCUAGUGGACCGUGAUUGAGAGCAAUGAUUGAUUUGCUAGAAUGACAUGUAAUCGGCCGAGUCGAUUGAUCGCUGAGACGAUCCAAGUGGUUGAAUUGUUUUGAUAAUGUGAUUGAGCCAUGGUUGUUUGGUUAUCAUAAUUGUACGUGGUUGAAUUAUAUAAAUUGUGCUAACUUGCAGAUGAAGGCUGAGGCGAGGUAAGUCUUCUAUGUGAUGUGGCUAGGCCACCCUUGGGCGUAUUUUCUUUCUAAUAGGGGUUUAGGGGGUUGAACUUGCUGAGACGUUGUCUCAGUGGUUAUUGAAUAACCAUUUCAGGUCCCCGGUGAACGGAGCGGCUAGAUAGCUUUGGUUGGCAUUGAGGAGUUGCAGAGGUGAAGUCAUAAGAUUGGAGAACGUGUCCGACUUGUAGGUUGUAGGACAAUUCUUUUUUAAGAGCCGGUCUUUUGUAGACUUUUGGCUGUAGACCUCUGUUUGUAAUUCUGUUGAUUUAUGGAAGUGUUAUGUUGUGAUUUUGCUUCCUGCUUUUCUAUCCCGUAUUUUAUUGUCAGGGGAUUUGUUUCGCUUCCGCAUGCGUAAAUAAAUGAAUGGGUCGGUGACAUAUCCUAGGAUGUCGCAUUUUUGAUCGACCGCAG
Molecule: long non-coding RNA, 2171 nt
Filed under: Eucalyptus grandis
Lineage: Eukaryota; Viridiplantae; Streptophyta; Magnoliopsida; Myrtales; Myrtaceae
Description: long non-coding RNA (EGRA_LNC001015)
Source: RNAcentral